RNAcentral lists this ribosomal RNA (779 nucleotides) under uncultured Neocallimastigales. RNAcentral's name for it is "partial large subunit ribosomal RNA". It matches the Rfam family "Eukaryotic large subunit ribosomal RNA", at positions 24 to 634 of the family's 3401-position model. The record is from RNAcentral. Lineage: Eukaryota; Fungi; Neocallimastigomycota; Neocallimastigomycetes; Neocallimastigales.
ACGACUACAUAUCAGGCAUAUCAAUAAGCGGAGGAAAAGAAACUAACAAGGAUUCCCCUAGUAACGGCGAGUGAAGCGGGAAGAGCUCAAAUUUGAAAUCUUAAAGGUUUUCCCUUGACGAAUUGUAGUUUAAAGAAGUGUUUUCUGUUGAAGUUUUGGUAAAAGUUCUUUGGAAUAGGACAUCAUAGAGGGUGAGAAUCCCGUAUUUGACCGUUACUUUUCCAGCUGUGUGAUACACUUUCAAAGAGUCGGAUUGUUUGGGAAUGCAGUCCAAAAUGGGUGGUAAAUUUCAUCUAAAGCUAAAUACUGGCGAGAGACCGAUAGCGAACAAGUACCGUGAGGGAAAGAUGAAAAGAACUUUGAAAAGAGAGUUAAACAGUACGUGAAAUUGUCAAAAGGGAAGCGUUUGACACCAGUGUUGUUUUCUCGAAAAUCAAUUAAAAAGUAUGGGAUUUUGUAUUGUUAAGACCUUUAUCAGCUUUACGGCUACUUUUUUCUUAUUCUUUUUAAUGCACUUUUCGUUUAACAAGUCAACAUCAAUUUCUUUUGUUGUAAAAGAGGUCAUUGGAAGGUGGCUUUCUUUUCGGAGAAAGUGUUUAUAGCCUUUGGCUUCUGCAAUCGGAGAGAUUGAGGUCUGCAGCGUAGAUCCUUCGGGGUUAGAUGCAUUUGUGCUAAGUUAUAGCCUUUCAUAGACAACUUGUUGACUAUGAUCAGUCAUGUAGCUUACUCGCUUAUGCUAUUUUACCUACGCUUAGGAUGUUGACGCGCGUGUGUGCGUG